Molecule: ribosomal RNA, 868 nt
Filed under: uncultured archaeon
Lineage: Archaea
Description: bacterial SSU rRNA
Rfam family: Archaeal small subunit ribosomal RNA
Source: RNAcentral
CCUGACUGCUACCGGAUUGAUACUAAGCCAUGCGAGUCAUUGUAGCAAUACAAGGCAGACGGCUCAGUAACGCGUAGUCAAUCUACCCUAUGGACGGGAAUAACCUCGGGAAACUGAGAAUAAUGCCCGAUAGAACAUUAUGCCUGGAAUGGUUUAUGUUUCAAAUGAUUUAUCGCCAUAGGAUGGGACUGCGGCCUAUCAGUUUGUUGGUGAGGUAAUGGCCCACCAAGACUAUUACAGGUACGGGCUCUGAGAGGAGUAGCCCGGAGAUGGGUACUGAGACACGGACCCAGGCCCUAUGGGGCGCAGCAGGCGAGAAAACUUUGCAAUGUGCGAAAGCACGACAAGGUUAAUCCGAGUGGUUUCUGCUAAAGAAACCUUUUGUCAGUCCUAGAAACACUAACGAAUAAGGGGUGGGCAAGUUCUGGUGUCAGCCGCCGCGGUAAAACCAGCACCUCAAGUGGUCAGGAUGAUUAUUGGGCCUAAAGCAUCCGUAGCUCGUUUUGUAAGUUUUCGGUUAAAUCCAUGCGCUUAACGUAUGGGCUGCCGGGAAUACUGCAUAACUAGGAAGUGGGAGAGGUAGACGGUACUCGGGAGGAAGGGGUAAAAUCCUUUGAUCUCUUGAUGACCACCUGUGGCGAAGGCGGUCUACCAGAACACGUUCGACGGUGAGGGAUGAAAGCUGGGGGAGCAAACCGGAUUAGAUACCCGGGUAGUCCCAGCUGUAAACUAUGCAAACUCAGUGAUGCAUUGGCUUAUGGCCAAUGCAGUGCUGCAGGGAAGCCGUUAAGUUUGCCGCCUGGGAAGUACGUACGCAAGUAUGAAACUUAAAGGAAUUGGCGGGGGAGCACCACAAGGGGUGAAGCCU